UCCCUAUGACUCAGAAGGUAAAGAAUCUGCCUGCAGUGCAGGAGACCCAGGUUCCAUCCCUGGGUUGGGAA
This 71-nucleotide transfer RNA is filed under the name Bos taurus (domestic cattle). It matches the Rfam family "tRNA". Rfam says of the family: Transfer RNA (tRNA) molecules are approximately 80 nucleotides in length. Their secondary structure includes four short double-helical elements and three loops (D, anti-codon, and T loops). Lineage: Eukaryota; Metazoa; Chordata; Mammalia; Artiodactyla; Bovidae. RNAcentral also lists the same sequence under 5 other names. The record is from Rfam by way of RNAcentral.